AUUGCGGCAGGCUACCAUGCAAGUCGGACGGUAGCACAGAGAGCUUGCUCUCGGGUGACAAGUGGCGGACGGGUGAGUAAUGUCUGGGGAUCUGCCCGAUAGAGGGGGAUAACCACUGGAAACGGUGGCUAAUACCGCAUAACGUCUCAAGACCAAAGAGGGGGACCUUCGGGCCUCUCACUAUCGGAUGAACCCAGAUGGGAUUAUCUAGUAUGCGGGGUAAUGGCCCACCUAGGCGACAAUCCCUAGCUGGUCUGAGAGGAUGACCAGCCACACUGGAACUGAGACACGGUCCACACUCCUACGGGAGGCAGCAGUGGGGAAUAUUGCACAAUGGGCGCAAGCCUGAUGCACCCAUGCCGCGUGUAUGAAAAAAGCCUUCGGGUUGUAAAGUACUUUCAGCGGGGAGGAAAGCGGUGCGGUUAAUAACCGCGCCGAUUGACGUUACCCGCACAAAAAACACCGGCUAACUCCGUGCCAGCAGCCGCGGUAAUUUAAA
Molecule: ribosomal RNA, 499 nt
Filed under: Pantoea sp.
Lineage: Bacteria; Pseudomonadati; Pseudomonadota; Gammaproteobacteria; Enterobacterales; Erwiniaceae
Description: bacterial SSU rRNA
Rfam family: Bacterial small subunit ribosomal RNA
Source: RNAcentral